UACGGAGGGGGCUAGCGUUGUUCGGAAUUACUGGGCGUAAAGCGCACGUAGGCGGCUUUGUAAGUUAGAGGUGAAAGCCCAGGGCUUAACCCUGGAAUUGCCUUUAAGACUGCAUCGCUAGAAUCGUGGAGAGGUGAGUGGAAUUCCGAGUGUAGAGGUGAAAUUCGUAGAUAUUCGCAAGAACACCAGUGGCGAAGGCGGCUCACUGGCCCGGAACUGACGCUGAGACGCGAAAGCGUGGGGAGCAAACAGG
RNAcentral lists this ribosomal RNA (253 nucleotides) under uncultured bacterium. Its description in RNAcentral is "partial 16S ribosomal RNA". It matches the Rfam family "Bacterial small subunit ribosomal RNA", at positions 524 to 776 of the family's 1533-position model. The record is from RNAcentral.